This is a non-coding RNA of Callithrix jacchus (white-tufted-ear marmoset), 15655 nucleotides long. The record is from RefSeq and is a predicted model, not a curated record. Lineage: Eukaryota; Metazoa; Chordata; Mammalia; Primates; Cebidae.
AACCCCUGAAAUGACAAACACAUGCAGCACUGUUGAAAUUAAAGGAAAAGUUUUUAUUUAUUAUUAUUAUUAAUUUAAUUUUUUUUUUUGAGCCGGAGUUUUGCUAUUGUUUACUGAGGCUGGAGUGCAAUGGCACGAUCUCGGCUCACCGCAACCUCCGCCUCCUGGGUUCAGGCAAUUCUCCUGCCUCAGCCUCCUGAGUAGCUGGGAUUACAGGCACGCACCACCGUGCCCAGCUAAUUUUUUGUAUUUGUAGUAGAGACGGGGUUUCACCAUGUUGACCAGGAUGGUCUCGAUCUCUUGACCUUGUGAUCCACCCGCCUCAGCCUCCCAAAGUGUUGGGAUUACAGGCGUGAGCCACCGCGCCCGGCCAAGGAAAGGUUUUUAAGAUGAAGGAGGAGAUGGAAAGGGUGCUGAAGGUUGGAGAGAAUAUUAUACUGAGCAGACUGGCGAGGCUGAGAGUGGGGAAGAGUAAAAACAUUAGUGUAACUUCAACAAAGUACCUCCAUGUUCAUGGAUCUUCCUGUUGCUGCCAGCAAACCUCCUUCAUAGAAUGGGACAUUCCCAAUAUUCCAUGGUUUGUGCUGGGAAUGAAUGAAACAGAUUGAUAUAUUAUUUCCCAAAUAAAUGAAAUAGAGUAGAAAAGCACACAGCAAGCUGUAGGCCUAGCAAAGCUGAAAGAAUAUUUCAGUCAACAUCUGAUAUGCAAAUUACUAUUUACAACAAACUUAAUAAACAGGCACUCCUCCCUUCCCAUUUUCUUUCUUUUUUUUGCCCUCUUUUUUUGUUUUUGUUUUGAGACAGGGUCUCCUUCUGUUGCCCAGGCUGGAGUGCAGUGGCGCAAUCACAGCUCACUGCAAGCCUCAACCUUCCAGGCUCAGGUGAUCCUCCUAUCUCAGACUCUGUGUUAGCUUAGACUAUAGGCAUGCGCCACCAUACCUAGCUAGUUUUUUGUAUUUUUAGUAUAAACAAGGUUUUGCCAUUUCCUCAGGCUGCUCUCAAACUCCUGAGCUCAAGCAGUCCACCUGCUUUGGCCUCCCAAAGUGAUAGGAUUAGAGGCAUGAGCCACCACACGCAGCCUUUUCUCAUUUCCUAAAGGAAGACAAGAUCUUUCAAAAAUAUCUACAAAAAGCUUAAAAACCUCUGUUGCACUUUGAUAAUUAGAACUUUGAUAAAAUAGUAUAGAUAGUACUUUGAUAAUUAAAUGUAUAUUGGCUAGGUGUGAUAAUUCACACCUGUAGUCACAGCACUGUGGGAGGCCAAGGCAGGUGAAUUGCUUGAGCUUAGGUGUUCAAGACCAACCUGGGCAACAUGGCAAAACCCCAUCUCUAAAAAUAUAUAUAUAAUAUACAAAUUAGCCAGAUGUGGUGGCAUACGCCUGUAGUCCCAGCUACUUGGAAGACUGAGGUGGGAGAAUGGCUUAAGCCCAGGAGGCUGAGGCUGCAGUUAGCUGUGAGACUGCCACUCCACUCUAGCCUAGGCAGCAGAGCAAGAUCCUGUCUCAAAAAAAAAAAAAAAAAAAAAAGGUGGUUAUCUUGGUAGGAAUAAACUGGACACAGGUCAGACAAGAGUUACAAGGGUAUACUGUGAGACACCUGGUCACGGGUCAAACAUUUGAGCAUCAGGCUGUGGGUCAGGAAAGAAAUGUCCUGAGAAAGGCAACUGUAAAGGCCUACAAGCCCCUUCCUUAGAGCCCCAUUAGGGCGAGGCUAGAGUUCAUAGUCAUUCUCCUGAAAGAGACCUCAAGAUCCAAUUAGAAGAAAACUAUAAUAUUUAAAGAAGCCAUUUUCCAAAGAGAAGUUCAAAGAAAAAUAUAUAGUCUUCCUUUGGAUAUAAAACAAAAUCUCAAGAUACGCCAAAACUAUUUUGCUUUUACUGAAUAAUUUUUGUGCACAUGUGUUGUUACUUUGGCUGCAAGUGGCUAACAAGCUCUGAUUUUCUUUCCUUUUUUUUUUAUUUUGAGACAGAGUCUUGCUCUGUCACCCAGGCUGGAGUGCAAUGGCCUUAUCUCAGCUCACAGUAACCUCAGCCUCCCGAGUAGCUGUAAUUACAGGCAUCCACUACCAUGCCUGGCUAAUUUUUAUAUUUUUAGUAGAGACAGGAUUUCACUAUGUUGCUGAGGCUGGUCUCGAACUCCUGGCCUCAAGUGAUCCACCCACCUUGGCGUGCAAAGUACUUGGAUUACAGGCGUGAGCCAUGCUGCCCAGCCAACUCUGAUUUUCUAACUUUCCCCAUGUAUUAGGGUCACACUGGGAAAAAACAGGUUAGAGCCAUCGGAGCCGCGUGUACAAAUGUGCAGUAGCUUUGCUAGCAACACUGCUGCUUGCUUUGGCUCUUAGGACAGAUGAGUUCAGCACUUGUCUACCCUUGCUCUAGCUGUCACUGUGUCCCCCCAACAGAUGCACAAUCAUUUCACUCUGUUAGUUCACUUUGGAUAUCCUACCAUUAGAUUAAAACCAGCAAGCCAAAAAGCGUACUUGAGGAAAUGCAUUCACAUCCACAGUGUUUUCAUAGGGUCAGUAUCAUGUACACAGGACAGGACUGUGGUUGCAGGGGGCAGAAUGAAGUGUCAUCCUUAACUGGCCAUCCAAUGUCAUCAGCAUGAACAGGAGGACUUUAUCGGAUAUUAUCUGAUGUUUUCUAAAUAUUACCUUACAAAUCCUCCUUUAUUUAUAACUUAAGGACAGGGACCCUUUAAAGGGACCCUAUAAAGUUUUAAAACUUUAUAUAUCCUCAAGUAAAGGUUUUUCAUAUUAAAUCCAUUAAUAAUAUCUAGUGGCUGACCUGGAAAUUCCAUUUCUAGGCACUUAUCCAAGAAUUUUUUUUUUUGAGACAAGUCUCAAUCUGUGGCCCACACUAGCGUGCAGUGAAGUGAUCAUAGCUCACUGUAACCUCUGCCUCCUGGGUUCAAGCGAUUCUUGUGCCUCAGCCACCCAAGUAGCUGGGAAUACAGCACAUACCACCACACCUGGCUUUUUUUUUUUUGGUAUUUUUGGUAGAGACAUGGUUUCACCAUGUUGGCCAGGCUGGCCUCAAACUUCUGGCCUCAAGCGAUCCAUCCAACUUGGGCCUCCCAAAGUGUUGGGAUCACAGGCAUGAGCCACCGAGCCAAGCCAGAGAAUUUUGAAAGUAUGAAGUUGUAUGCAGAAGAAUGUUUCUCAAAGACAAAAAUAAAAAAAUCUGAAACUAAUGUCUUGUUGGUUGAUGUAUAAUACAAUACUUUGUAAUAGGAAAGACAUGCAACAUUGAGGGAGGCAGGCAAAAAAAAAAAAAGAAAAAGAAAAUUACUAUUAGGACUUAAAGCUAUUUCUCCCUGUCUGUUUUCCAUAUGCAGAACAAUGCAUAUGUGACCACAGUACACAUAUAAUUUUGAAAUAUGUCCUUCACAGUUUGAUUUUUUUCUUGUCAUCAUAAACACAUGGCAUUUAAAUGUCCACCAAUUUUAUUCCACAGGUUGAGGGCUCAGUCCCCAAAACUUCUUACCUUUCAGACACCAGUCACAAGUCCCAGCCUCUGGAACUUCUGACUGAUGAGAUUGAUUUGUGGUUCCUACAACCCUCUCUUUAGGUUCAAUUAUUUGCUAGAAUAGAAUGGCUCGGCUGGGUGCGGUGGCUCACGCCUGUAAUCCCAGCACUUUGGGAAGCCGAGGCAGAUGGAUUGCGAGGUCAAGAGAUCGAGACCAUCCUGGUCAACAAGGUGAAACCCCGUCUCUACUAAACAUACAAAAAAUUAGCUGGGCAUGGUGGCGCGUGCCUGUAAUCCCAGCUACUCAGGAGGCUGAGGCAGGAGAAUUGCCUGAACCCAGGAGGCGGAGAUUGCCAUGAGCCGAGAUUGUGCCAUUGCACUCCAGCCUGGGUAACAAGAGCGAAACUCUGUCUCAGAAAAAAAAAAAAGAAAAAAGAAAAAAAAAGAAUGGCUCAUAAGUCUCAGAGAAACACAUUUACUGGCUGAUUAUAAGGAUAUUCCAAAGGAUACAAAUGAAGAGACGCCUAGGGUGAGCUAUGGGGGAAGGGGCACAGAGCUUCCAUGCCCUCCCUGGGCACGACCCUCCAAGAGCCUCCAUGUGUUCAGCUCUCUGGAAGCUCUCCAAAUACAUUCUUUUUGGGUUUGUACAAAAAGCUUCAUUACAUAGGCAUGAUUGAUUAAACCAUUGGCCACUUGCCAUCAACUUAUUCCGCAGUCCCUUCCACUCCCCAGGGGUGGGAGGGUAGGGCUGAAAGUCCGAACCAUCUAAUCCUGCCUUGGUCUUUCUGAUGACCAGCCCCCAUCAAAGCGAUUGGUCAGCCACGAACAUAUAAAAAGCCAAAGGCCAAAGGCUCACUGUAACCUCUGCCUCCUGGGUUCAAGCAAUUCUCCUAUUUCAGCCUCCUAAGUAGCUGAGAUUACAGGCACGUGCCACCAUGCCCGGCUAAUUUUUUGUUGUAUUUUUAGAAGAGACAAAGUGUCACUGUGUUGACCAGACUGGUCUUGAAUUCCCGACCUCAUGAUGUGCCCAGCUUGGCCUCCCAAAGUGCUGGUAUUAUAGGCGUGAGCCACUGCACCCAGCCCUGAGGAUUUAAUGCGAUACAGAUGUGGACACUGGCCCAAGCUUUUAUGCACCAAUGACAAGGCAAACCUCUGGUCCUAUUGGUACAAACUAUUGAUCAAGCCCCCAAUCUCAUUCCUAUCCCUAAAAUAGCAAAGUAAAAGAUCUUGUCACCUAUUUGGAUGAGAUUGACACCAUCCCAUAAACUGCAUGGCUUUCAAUCCCAGGGCUAUGGUGUGUGAUGCUACAUAGAAUAUGCACUAAUCUUCUCUUCAGUAAUUGAGUUGUUGGGAUAAAGGCUCUUGUCUUUGCCUCACUAGGCCAGCAGAGAUCUUAAAAGGAGACUCUGCACACAGGAUAAACAGCCAAAUUAAUACGAAGGUAGACAGGACAUAUAGGACACCCAGUCUUUAACCCCAGGGCCUCCAUUAUAUAGUUCAGUGGGAAGUACAGGUCUUUCCAAUGGGCUUGUGGUAGGCUGGGAUUGUCAGAAAAGGGAGAAAAAAUGUUCUGAAAACAACAACUUAAGGGAAGAAAGAAAAAACCACCUGCUCAGCGUGCUGACUCACGUUUCUUACCCCUUUGGGAGGCCGAGGCAGCAGAUCACUUGAGGUCAGAAGUUUCAGACCAGCCUAGCCAACAUAGUGACACUCUGUCUCUACUAAAAAUACAAAAAAAUUAGCCAGGCGUGGUGGCAUGUGCCUGUAGUUGCAGCUACUCGAAAGACUGAGGCACACGAACUGCUUGAACCUGGGGGUAGGGACAGAGCUUGCAGUGAGCCAAGACUGUGCCACUGUACUGCUGCCUAGGCAACAGAGCAAGGCUCUGUCUCUAAAAAGAAAAAAAGAAAAAGAAAAACCCCAAAGCACUUUGAGCUUGAGCUUGGUCUUCAGGUGCUCAGCAACCAUUCCUUCCUCUUUCUCUUUGUAACAGAACUGUUCAAAGAAACUAAGCUGGGUGGAGUGGCUCACGCCUAUAAUCCCAGCACUUCGGGAGGCCAAGGAAGGCGGAUCGCUUGAGUCCAGGAAUUUGAGACUAGCCUGGGCAAUAUGGCAAAAUCUCUACAAGAAAUGCCAAAAUAAGUCAGGUGUGGUGGCCUGCGCCUAUACUCCCAGCUGCUCUGGAGGCUGAGGUGGGAGGAUGGCUUGACUUGGGAAGGCAGAGGUUGCAGUGAGCCGAGAUCACGUCAUUGCAUUCUAGCCUGUGAGAGAGAAAGAGCCAAAACUUGACUUAAAAAAAAAAAUUAUACUAGCAUGGUGGUACAUGCAUGUGGUCCUAGCUACUCAGGAGGCUGAGUUGGGAAAAUCACUUGAGCCCAGGAGGUCCAGGCUACUGAACUCCAGCCUGGGUGACAGAGUGAGACCCUAUCUCAGAAAAUAAAUAGAAAUAGAAAUAAGGUGGGUUUUUUUUUUUUUUCUUUUUUGAAGAAAAAAAAAAAGAAACUGGUAAGACACUUACCUUAUUUUGAAACCCCAACGGGCCAGGUUGGAAUGCCCCACCUUUCAAGCCUGAGACUCCCACACAUCAUGCAGGCAGAAUGUCAGGGAAGACCAGAGAGUCCAGCACAGUCCUGUAAUUACAGGAAAGGGCCAGAAUCUAUCCUGAGCUCACAGAUGUCUCCUGGGAACAGAGUGGUGAAGUCACACCUGCACAAUCACAGCACACCCCCCCCGCCCCCCGUGCACACACAGUUGCUGUGCCAGGUCACGGGGUCAUUCAUAAUCCUGCAGACACACCAAGAGUGUUAGUCUCGCCAGUGCACCACAAUGUAGCAGUCUCUCCUUGUUCCCGGCAUCGCCUGGAAUUCUUUCUCUCAGGGCCGAGAAAAUUAAGGAGUGUGGAUACAAAGGAUGAGGUUGGAGCGGAAUUUUAAUAAGCAAAAGAAGAAAGCUCUCCGUAGCAGAGAGGGGACCAGAAAGAAGGUUGCCAACUUAGGAGGCUGAAUCUGGGGUUUUCAUGAACCGGGAAGGGGAGGAAUGUGCUUACUGGUCUGCGGGCUGUCUUGGAGAAAGCACUACUCAGCUUGGCCCUGGGACCUUAGCCCGGGACCAGACAAAGGCUGAAAUGAAAGUCUGGCCCAGGACUGAUCAAGGGCUGAAGUGAAAGCUUGGCCCAGGGCCAAUCAGGGGCGGAAGUGAAAGCUUGGCUGGGAGGAAUCAGGGACUGAAGUGAUAAUUCGUAGAGGCUCAGCUCACAGUCCAAAGCAUGUCCAAAGAAGGGAAGUGGCCACUGGAGCCUGUUAGUCCAAGCUGCAGUUUUGGAAGCCCCCGCCAUUUCACAGACCCUGGUCAGAGGGAAACAUUCCACGGGGGUUCGGGCUGUGAGAAAUAUCCUCCCCAACCGCCUGACUUCCUUAUCGCAUGCUGCUGGGCAAAGGCCCAAAAAACAUCCUUAUCAAUCUCCCAGGCAACAAGCCAUAACCGUGCAGAUCCCUCCUACCCAGGCCUGUAACAACUCCAGUCUGUUAGGGGCAGUGGUCUCUGGCAUUUAGCUGGUCCCCGCCAUUGAGCUGCCAACUGUCUCUGUUUUUAACCCUCGCCUUCCCUUCAAAACCUAACAGAGCCCACCGUGUACAUGCCCACGAAAGAAGCGACUAUUUCCUGGAAGCCCGCUGGUCACACGAAGGACAAAGGCGUUUCUAUGCUGGGCCUCUGUCCCUUAUCAGUGCAGCUGAGGAAUGUCUUUAGGACAACCCCCUGUGCUAGUUUUCCUUAUCUGUGCCUGCAGCCUGAUUUUUCAAGCAGUUUCUGUUUAAAGGCGUUUUACCAAGAACCCACCCACCCUAACUGCCUGUUUUUUUUUUUCUCUCUCAAGGGGACACACAAAGUCCCAAUCGCACACAUACCUCCCCAUAUCCACUUACCCAUUGCCUCACGGCCAUCACACUCUCCUCUCACACACACCAAGGGGCCACGCAAGUUGCACCUGCACAGCCACAGACCUCCAACUCACGCGCACACGGUACUGCACACACACGCAGUAACGCACCCACCCCGGGACACGCAGCCCCAACCACGCAGUCAGCAGAUCUCCACAUGCGCACGCACAGCGCGGCUCGUCCAGGAUACACUCAAACAUUCCGGGUGCGCAGUUACAAGCGCCCACCUGAUCACCCAGAGUCAGCAUCACACAGCCACAGUCACAGACCACGAAGACCCACGGCAACCAUCGCGAUCACACACGCAAACUCCUCUCCUCAUCCCUCCACACACAAAAGGACGGGAGCCGGAUUCCUCACCCUCAGCUUUCUCUAGUUCCGGUUGGGGACAGCCUGGCCAAGUUGCUCCAGACUCCAGGCGGCGGCGGCGAAAUCAGCACAGCCAACGGUCCCGCCACCUGGCUAAGAGGAAGCCUAAAUCUCGCGAGACUUCUCGCGGCCUGCGCUAUCCUCUGGGAAAUGUAGUGCAGAACCCUACUGCGGGCUUCCCUACUCCUCUCAUCGCCAAGCCGGGCUUGUUUCCAUGUACCGCUCCUCUGCACCGAGGAUCGCGAGCCCUCAUGCCUAGCGGCUCGCUAUGGGGCCGGCUCAUCCGCUAGAGUGGCCAGGCCUGAUUAUCCCUGGCAGCUCGAUUAUCUGAGCAGGAAUCGGGAGGGAGCUUCUUUUCCUGUUGUUCUGUUUUGGAUGCAUUUGAAGGAGAAAACCCACCAGAGAGGAUAACUUAAGGGAUGUGGAAAGUGAGUUUCUUUGUGCUUAUCAAGUGUGGUUGAUUUUUAAUCAGUGAGCAUUCGGCAUAUGUCUGGGACUCUGGCUUUAUUUAUCAGUUUUCUCACGCUGAACCUUUCAAUGAACUUCUGUGUAUUUGAUUCCUCAUGAGGAAAAUGGUGACACCGAGGGUGGCUGAUUUCCAGGUUUACAUCUGUUACCCCAGGAUUAGUGUCUGGCCUUCCUCUGGUCCUUGCUGCUCUAACUUUGCCCUGUUAAUGAAGAAAUGCGGCUAUAAACACUUCUGGGCGUUCCUGGUAUUUACUGUCCUCACAGUUCAGAGAGAAGCCCUGUCACAUUUUCAGCCUCUUCCUCUGCUUUCUGUCAUUUCUAAACCACCUCACCUGACCUGGUGUAACCUUCGUUGUGUGUCAGUUUGCGCAGAUGUAAUUUGGGCCUUCACUUCUCCUUAAAGCCUAAUACCCUCCUCCCACCUCCACCAAAAUCAAGCUUGAACCCACUACCCUCCGUCACCCACUGCAAGCUCGAACAUUUGAUGGUGGACACCCCUCCCUGACUUUGUAAUGUGGUGGGUUCUCUUGGGUCUUGUUCUCUGUGGGUCUGUACUGCACUCUAGUGUCCGCAGCUGGUGGGAUUUGCCCUGUUCCUGAAGGAGGGUCACAGGGAGUUGUUGAGCAGAGAGAGCCUGAUGUUUCUUAAGGCCUUCCCCUGAGAAGGAAGAGGCCAAACCUACACAGGCAAAUCUUGUUUGUUUAUACUUCUAGGUCCAGAUCUUGAAUGAAUCACUGUAGAAAUUGAACAGGUAAGGCUCACCUUACCAUAGUUACACCAAGAAAGGCCUAACUGGUGACUUAAGCCGUGGUUUUGGGUGGCACGAGAGUGGUCAGGGAGACAGUAGGGAAGUGUACACAUAACCGAAAGGGAAAAGAAAGCAGGCCCCUCAGAAAUGAGGGCAAAGUCUCACAGUGUCUCUUUCCCCAUGGUGUCACUGGCAUGUGGGUUACCUCCCCACUGUGUCCCCCAAGGACAUGAGGCUGCAGACUGCAGUGCCAGUGAGCAGAGGAGCUGUGGGGAUGAAAGUUUGAUUGCUGCAUUCAAACACACACCCCGGUGCACGUGCGUCUCUUCUGACACAGCACCCGAUGGGUGAGCUCUGCUUCUCCACACAGUGGCUUAGGAGUGGAAACAUUCUGUUUAGUGCUUGAUGGUUUGUUCUGACCUCAUGUCAUAGCGAUUAGCGCCAGUGACCCUAACAGUUUAAAGUGUUUGAGCUUGUGGGUAGGUAUUUGGGAGACAGUAUGUGUGUUACCUAGUCUUUGUCAUCUGCAGUGGUUUUGUUACUUUUCGCAUAAAUUGCUGAGAAUGUUUACUAAGGUAGAUGAUAGAGAAAUCACCAGUCACUCUAAAAUCCUCCCAUUUCUUGGUCUAGAGCUGCACUACUGGACCCCCCAGUAGUGAGGAGACCUGAAAACCAGAGAAGGCAAAGCAAGUAGGCCCUUUAGACCAGUUGUGUGUGUUCUCUUUCAGUUUACUCUGUUUUUAUUUUGUUCACAUCAUUUUAAGGGUUAUAAUCAUCUUGUUCAGAUCUCAGCGUAUCAAAUGACCCCUCUGUAGAUGUCAGGCUCCAACCGUACCCCAAGAGUUAACUGGUUUUCUUUCGAUUCUAGAUAACACUGGAGGGAAUAUUCCAGAUUCUCUGAGUAGUUUCCAGGUUGAAGUCCUGUAGGCUUCCUCUGUUUUGAGGAGGAGUUCCUAUCAGAGAAAGACCUGAUUUUGGAUUUUUAGCUUUAAUGCUUGUGAAAAGCUAUAAGAAGUAAUUUUCUACCCCUAGCUUUAAAGUACUGUUGGUUAGAAAUUAAAGUUUCUUCGGGAGAAUUAAACUGCCAUUUCAGUUACCCUAAUUCCGGAAGUUUUGGUCGUUAGAAUUUUCUUUAAUGUUCAUGAAGAAGUGUUUUAUAUUUUCCAUUAAGAUUGAUUCUCUUUAGCAGUUAAUUUUGAAAGUUGCUUUCUUAAACACCCAAAUUCAGUUUUCUCUCUGCUACGAUUUGACUUUUUCUUGGGACAGAGUCUCGCUAUGUUGCCUAGGCUGGAAUGCAUUGGUGUGAUCUCAGCUCACUGCAGCCUCUGCCUCCUGGAUUCAAGCAAUUCUCCUGUCUCAGCCUCCUGAGUAGCUGGGCUUACAGGCAUGAGCCACCACACCCCGCUUGUUUUUGUGUUUGUUGUAGAGGUGGGAUUUCACCGUGUUGGCCAAGUGAUUUGCCCACCUCCGCCUUGCAAAGUGCUGAGAUUACAGGCAGAAGCCACUGCACUGAGCCUCUGCUACAGAUUUCAACUUAACAUGAAAGGCCAUUUUUAAUGAACAAGGGCAAAGCACAGAGGGGGCAGUAGAGGGCACCGUCAACCCCAGCAUGGAAAUGAAGUUCCUGCUCCAAAAUGAACCAUCACAGCAGUCUCGGCUUGUUGAUCUGGACCCUCAAUUCUCUUAGGAUUUGAACCUGUGUUAGGGAGAAGGGGGCCUGUCUCUUAAGCCAGCCAGUUUUUCGUAUUCAGUAUUUAUGUAUCAUUUGUUCCUAAGUGUUUUCUCAUUUCUAUUACGGUGCAUUCUGUGGGCUGUCAAUGACUUCGCAGUAUCUUCUUCACAUGUUUAUAAAGCUGAGUAGUUCUUUCUUUUCUUUUCUUUUUUUUUUUUUUUUUUUAGAUGGAGUUUGGAUCUUGUUGCUCAGGCUGGAAUGCAGUGGCAUGAUAUUGGCUCGCUGCAGCCUCUCUGCCUCCUGGGUUCCAGCAAUUCUCCUGCCUCAGCCUCCCGAGUAGCUGGGAUUACAGGCAUGUCCCACUAUGCCCGGCUAAUUUUGUAUUUUUAGUAGAGACAGGGUUUCUCCAUGUUGGUCAGGCUGGUCUGGAACUCCAGACCUCAGGUGAUCUGCCCACCUUGGCCUCCCAAAGUGCUGGGAUUACAAGCGUGAGCCACUGCGCCCAGCCAAAGCUGAGUAGUUCGGUGUGUCAGUUCAGCACUCCUAGUGUCAGCCUCACUACUCUCCUGCUGUGUGUAGAUGGGGGCCUGUCCAUCUCCUGGGUCCCCACUGUCAGCACUGAAGGUACCCACCAGAUGUGUCUGUCACUUCCUUCCAUCCACCUCUAUUGUGGUUCUCAUGUUUCUGCCUCCCUAGAGACCAUUUCUCUCUAGAGCAGUGGUUUCCAAUAGAAAUACAAUGCCAGACAUACAAGUCAUUUUAGAUUUUCUAGUAGUCACUUAAGAAAGUUAGAAACAGGUGAAAUUAGUAUUUUAUUUCACCUAAAAUGUUACCAUUAUCCAAAAUAUCACUUCAACAUCUUAUCAAAAUAAAAGUUAUUAACGAGAUAGUUUACAGUCUUGUUUUUUUUUUCCCUUUUGAGACAAGGUCUUGCCUGGUUCCCCAGACUAGAAUGCAGUGAGUGGCACCAGCAUAGCUCACUGCAGCCUCAAACUCCUGGGCUGAAGAGAUCCUCCUUACUCAGCCUUCCUAGUAGUUCGGACUACAGGCGUACACCACCAUGUCCAGCAAAUUUUUUUUUUUAAAGACAGGGUCUCACUCUGUCACCCAGGCUGGAGUACAGUGGCACAAUCUUGGCUCACUGCAGCCUUGACCUCUGGGGCUCAAAUGAUCCUCCCACUUCAGUCUCCCAAGUAACUGAGACCAAAAACAUGUGCCACCAUGUCUGAAUAUUUUUUGUUGAGACAGGGUUUUGCCAUGUUGUCUAAGCUGGUCUUGAACUCCAGAGCUCAAGCGAUCCACCCACCUUGGCCUCCCAGCGUGCUGGGAUUACAGGUGUGACCCACUGUCCUCGGCCUAAUUUUUUUUUUUUCCUGAAGAGAUGGGAUCUUGCUGUGUUGCCCAGACUGGUCUCAAACUCCUGGCUCCAGCAGUCCUCCCGCCUUGGCCUUCUAAAGUGCUGGGAUUACAGAUGUGAGCCACCACACUGACCCAUUCUUUCUUUUAUAUGAGUAUUCAGAAUGUUUUAAAAAUGUGUUUUACACUUUCAGUACUUCUCAGGUUGGACUAGCCAUCUUUCACAUGCUCAGCAGCUACGUGUGACAAGUGGCUGUCUUAUUGGACAGCACAGCUCUGGAGAGUGAUUUUAUGUACAUCCCACUGCUCUCUGCCUUCUUUAUUACCUUCUACGCCCACAGCCCUGGAGUCUUACCAUCCUGUUCCUGUCUCCUCUCUGUCUCUUGUACUACUUUAAUAUGAAGAAUCAUUUCCAAUUCCUUAACAUCCUGCCCUGAUUUUUUCUGUCUCACGUUCGAGGGUCACAGUUUUCCUCUCAUCCUCAUUUUAGUACUUUCCCAGAAGAUGUGACGUACCUUUUUGUCUUGGUUGGGUAUUUAUUUGCAAUACAAGAACGAUUCUUUUCUUUGAUACAUUAGUGACUUACACACUUUCCUUGUUUUUUUGAGUACAUCUUUCCUGACAGAAUUUCAAAUUAUUUCUAGAGUUUAAUUAGAAGUUUUUUUGUUUGUUUGUUUUUUGAGACAGAGUCUCACUCUUGUCACCCAGGCUGGAGUACAGUGACGUAACCUUGGCUUACUGCAACAUCUGCCUUCCAGGUUCAAGUGAUUCUCCUGCCUCAGCCUCCCAAGGAGUAGCUGGGAUUAUAUAUGUGAGCCACCACAUUCGGCUAAUUUUUGUGUUUUUAGUAGAGACAGGGUUUUGCCGUUUUGGCCAGGCUGGUCUGGAACUCCUGACCUCAAGCAAUCUGCCCACCUCGGCCUCCCAAAGUGCUGGGAUUAUAGGCAUGAGCCACUGUGCCUGGUCUAGAAAGCUUUUAUUUCUUUGAGACGGAGUCUCGCUUUGUCCCCCAGGCUGGAAUGCAAUGGCACGUCUCGGCUCACUGCAGCCUUUGCCUCCCAGUUUGAAGCAAUUCUCCCUGCCUCAGCCUCCCGAGAAGGUGGGAUUACAGAUGCCUGCCACCAGGCUUGGCGGAAUUUUGUAUUUUCAGUAGAGAUGGGUUUCGCCAUGUUGGCCAGGCUGGUCUUAAACUCCUGAUCUCAGGUGAUCCACCCGCCUUGGCCUCCCAAAGUGCUGGGAUUACUUGUGAGCCACCGUGCCCAGCCAGAAAACUUACUUUAAAAAGUGUGUAUGGAGCCCUUAUGUUUCUGCUUGAUUUUUGAAAUAACAUAUUUAGGUCUUCUAUAUAUUUUAGGGUGUAAGAUCUCACUCUACAUGUUGCUUAGCAUCAUGGAACAUUUUUGGUAAUUAUUUUUAUUUUCUAUAUAUUUUAGAGUUUUCAUUAAUACAGAAUUUCAUGUUCAUAGCCUCGCCCGGUAAAUGUCUGAAAUCCUAGCACUUUGGGAGGCCAAGGCGGGCAGAUCACCUGAGGUCAGGAGUUUGAGACUAGCCUGGCCGACACGGUGAAAACUUGUCUCUACUAAAAAUACAAAAUUAGGCAGGUGGAUCACCUGAGGUCAAGUGUUCGAAACUAGCCUGGCCAAUAUGGCCAAACCUGUCUCUGCUAAAAAUACAAAAUUAGCUGGCGUAUUCCUGUAAUCCCAGCUACUUGGGAGACUGCACUCCAGCCUGGGCAUCAAGAGCAAAACUCUGUCUCAGAAAAAAAAAUUGGCUGUGUAUGGUGGUGGGUGCCUAUAAUCCCAACUACUUGGGAGACUGAGUCAGGAGAAUCACUUGAACCCAGGAGGCAGAGGUUGCAGUGAGCCAAGAUCACCCCACUUCACUCCAGCCUAGGAGAAAGAACAAAGCUCUAAAAAAAAAAUUUCAUAUUAUCUCAUAUCAAAAAUGAAAAUUUAUUUUUACAAAUUUCUAUUUGAGACUGAGUGUGGUGGCUCACGCCUGUAAUCCCAGUGCUUUGGGAAGCCAAGGUGGGUGGAUUACGAGGUCAGCAGAUCAAGAUCAUCCUGGCUAACAUGGUGAAACCCCGUCUCUAUUAAAAAUACAAAAACUUAGCCAGGCAUGGUGACACGCGCCUGCAGUCCCAGCUACUUGGGAGGCUGAGGCAGGAGAAUCACCUGAACCCGGGAGGCAGAGGCUGCAGUGAGCCAAUAUUGCCCCACUGCACUCCAGCCUGGGCAACGAGUGCGGCUUUGUUUAAAAAAAAAAAAAUUACUACUUGAGUGAUAGAAUUAUUUUAAUCUAAGAAAGGUUCAUAAAAAAUAGAUGUAGUGAUUGUAUUCUUUGCUGUGCUCAAAUGAAAAAUGAUGAGGGAACAGGAUGUUAAGAGUUGCAGUGAGAGAGGGUGGAAAGGAGGGAUCCAGAGCCAGGCACACAGGUUUUCUGGAAGGCUUACAUGGGACUGCUGGGGUCUGAAUGUGUUCCCUGGAGUUCAUGUGUUGGAAACUCAACCCCUAAUGCAACCAUGUGGACCAGCGGAACCUUUAAGGGGUGAUGAGGUCAUGAAGGCUCUGCCCUCAUGAAUGGAUGAAGGCAGAGUGGGUUAGUUGUCUCGGGAAGUAGGUUCCCGAUAAAAGGAUGAGGUUGGCUUCCUUCCCUUUCCCUCUUUCUCCCUCCUUCCUCACAUGUGGUCACUCUCGUGUUCUUCUCCCUUCCACCGUAGGAUGACACAGCGAGACCUUCACCAGGCGCAGGCCCCUCCCCUUUCCAGGGUCCAGAACUGUAAGCCAGAUAACCUCUUGCUUAUAAAUCACCAGUCUGUGGUAUUGUAGCAACACAAACGGACUGAGACAGGGACACUCAGAGGGCUCAUCUCUCUACUUGAUGGAGCACUCCCUGCGUGGUACCUUGUAUUCUUAGACCUGAUGCUGUAAAUGCUGUUCGAGUGCCUUGAAGGUUUUUAUGUUUGAGGAGUUUACAGAGAAGCCCCUGUAGGCUUCAGGUCCCUUCUGUUGCUUUGCUCUUUAGUACGUCCCCUACCCUGGUGUUAAAUUAGAUCGUAGUGUGGUCCUUGGACCAACACUAUCAGUAUCACCUGAAAAACAUGGUGGAAAUGCAGAUUCACAAGCUGCGCCCAGAACACUAGGAGCGAGACCCAACAGUCUGUACUUAACAAGCCCCUCAGGUGAGUCUGAACCACACAGAAAUUUGAGAUGCUCUAUUAGAUAGUUUGAGUUCGUGCUAUCCGAAUGACUGACAAGCAUGUCUGCUCACUGCUUGACGUUUACACAGGCCUCUGGAGCCUCCUGGAAUCCGCAGUCCCUGUUGUUCCCUCUGGGAGUUUUCUAGAAGCAUGUCUUUCAGAGCCCCGUGCCACCCAGGUUGGGCAUCUGGUCUAUAUUCAGCACUAGACUAUGCACUCUCAGCACCAAGCUAUGCAUUUGAACCUCAGCACUAAACUAUACAGCGGAACCCGCGAAAAUUGAAGAAAUCCCGCCAAGCCUUACCCAAUGGCAGCCCACCCCUCUAACUCCCAUAAAACCCCCCUGCCCUGAGAAGUCAAACGCAACUUCUCUGGCCCCUUUCCCCAGGACCACAGAACCUCGCCCAGGAGAUAAAUAAAUUGGCCUCUGAUUGUUCUUA